AUGGUAGAAAUUGACACCUCUAAACUUUUCAAUCACUUUCAAACCUUCACCCUCACUUGAAGCCAUGUCUUAGAAGAGGUCUAUCAAAAAAUAUCAAAAAAAAGAAUCUCUAUGUACUAAAAAUCACUAAAAUAAUUUUGUACUAGCAAAAUCUCAAAAUGCCUUCUUGUAAACAAAUGAAUAUUUCUUCACUCCAAACACUUCCAAAUCAACUUUUGAAGCUUCUAACAAGUAUGUGAACUCUAAUCAACCUCACCACCUAGCUCUUCCUUUCAUAAAAUUCACUUUCUCACCACAAAAUCAAAGACACUAUCAAGGUCUUUGUAAAAGAUCUUAAUUAUUAAAUCCUAGGAGUUAAGAACCUUCAAACUGAUUUAAGAGAUCUAUAAGGCCCAAAUCAAAACCUCCACAAGUCAAAACACCAGAUUAGAUCAUACAAUCUCUAACAUCAGUAAAUACCAUAAGAUCUAUUCCACACAAAAACAACAACCAGGAAAUGACUUCAACUUACUUGAAUAGCACAACAAAGUAUGUGUGGGCCCAUAACCUAUUGAAGAAACACAAUAAGCAAGACACAAAUAAGUAGAAAUCAACAAGGUUAGACACAAGAGAAGUGUAGAAUGAGAUACCUCUCACUUCCAAUACCCUUUACUUAUAGGUAGAG
Molecule: long non-coding RNA, 664 nt
Filed under: Physcomitrium patens
Lineage: Eukaryota; Viridiplantae; Streptophyta; Bryopsida; Funariales; Funariaceae
Description: long non-coding RNA (PPAT_LNC005794)
Source: RNAcentral